This is a long non-coding RNA of Zeugodacus cucurbitae (melon fly), 3037 nucleotides long. RefSeq lists it as uncharacterized. NCBI's taxonomy places the organism in Eukaryota, Metazoa, Arthropoda, Insecta, Diptera, Tephritidae. The record is from RefSeq and is a predicted model, not a curated record. The transcript has 3 exons.
CUCAGAUAAACAAAGAAAAUUGUCAUAAUGAUAAGUGAUUUUUUGCCUUUGUUGGCGACAUCUUAUUCUCGAAUGAGUUCACCUUAAUUUCCUUAACGGAUUAAUUAACUGCGAGUGCUUUUGUUGUCUAUCAUAUACGUUCUUACGCAUUUAAUUGAGGAAUGUUUGAGUUUUUCUAUACAUUUUAAUUAUAACUCUGAUAUAUGUAAAUCUGUGGGAGUAUUAUGUUGUUCUUGCUAUUAAAAUGAAGUCGUCUAGCGUCUCAUAAAGUAUAUAUAGAAUACGACUAUAUGCAUAGCAUGAUCAUUCCGCUGAUCGACAUUGAAUAGAACUUUUAAUAUGGCUUUAUUUACAGAUCGAAAUAUAUAUUAAUUCGAGAUUACAACCAGUGCUGUAAAGAGAAGUUCAGUCCAGAUUAAAAAAAUUAAGUCAAAAGAUCGACGUAGACUACGUUUUAUACUCCAGAAGACUUCAAAUAACAUUACUCUUGAUUUCACGAACAUAUUUCGCUUGCGAGGUUAAACCUAAUGCCUUCCCGAAAAUUUUAUAGAAAGACAAACAAGACUUCUUGAAAAUUGAAAAAUAUGAGAAAUAAAACUUUGUAUUCCUCUAAUAUUUCCCCCUUGAGACUAUGUUGCUUACAGGUUCAGCUCCUGCAAAACUUUGGGAAGAUCGAAUCGAACCAACAACUGGUUUAAAUGUAUAAAUACGAUAAACUGGUAUAAUCCAGCAGAGAUGGAAAUAGUAAGCCAGUUAUACCACUCUACUGAAAUAUCUGUAUACUCUCUUGUAUUUAAUUUGAGAGCAGAGUUCAAAUAUAGGAAAUAGAGAAGUGAGGAACGAAAAACGAUUAUGGUACUGAUUAAAUUAUAGGGUUCCCGUGAACUUUUGGUAAACAUUUAUUCACAACUCGCACACUAAUAAUAUAUAAUAGAUUUGUUAACUCAGAAAUUAAUGACAGUACGCUUAAAGAUUCUACAUAGAAAUGCAACAGCUCGGGUAGAAUUUUGGAUAAGGAAAUUUUAAGGAAAAGAGAUGAAAAUAUACAACAACGUCUACAAGUAAAUAAUACAAUGUCAGCCUCGAAAUCCAACGCAGAAUCAAUCUUGCCAAUAGGUGCUAAUUUGGACUCAGUAGGUAAUUGAAAAGUAAAGUUCUCGCGAAUACCGCAGACAAUGGAAUGAAGAGCUGUAUGUGUUAUUCGACAGCAUAGACAUAGUUCAGCGAAUAAAAAACAGCGGCUACGCUGGCUAAGUCAUGUUAUUCGAAUGGCGAAAGUGCUCCAGCUCAGAAAGUGUUCGAUGCUGUACCCGCUGGUGGAAGCGGAGGAAGAGGAAGACCUCCACACCGUUGAAAGGACCAGAUGGAGAAGAACCUGGUUUCACUUGGUAUUACCAAUUGUCGACAAACUGCCAAAAGGAGAACUGAAUGGCGAGCUGUCGUGGACUCGACUUUAACCUUGUUAGCGUUGUCUAUGCCAGUCAAGAAGAACAAGUAAUACAAAAGAUGCUACGAGAGUAUUAUAGUUUUGUUCGCAUAACGGUUGUUUGUAACACCCAAAACUAAUCGAGUUAGAUAUAGGGUUAUAUAUAUCAAAGUGAUCAGGGUGACGAGUAGAUUUGGAAUCCGGAUGUCUGUCCGUCCGUUCGUCUGUCCAUCUGUCCGUCUGUCCGUCUGUCCGUCUGUCCGUCUGUGCAAGCUGUAACUUGAGUAAAAAUUAAGAUAUCUUGACGAAACUUGGCACAAAUAUUCCUUGGCACCAUAAGAAGAUCAAGUUCGAAAAUGAAUCGGACCACUGCCAAGCCCACAAAAUGGCGAAAACCGAAAACACAUAAAGUGUCAUAACUAAGCCAUAAAUGAAGAUAUAAAAGUAAAAUUUGGAAUAAAGGAUUGCACUAGGAGGGGGCAUAUUUGGAUGUAAUUUUUUUGGGGAAGUGUGCGUGGCCCCGCCCACAAAUCGGUUAUUUGUAUUUAACUCGCAAACUAAUAAAGCUAUAUAAACCAAACUUUCUGCAGUCGGGUCUCUUACAUACCCCACCACACACCAUGAAAAUAGUUGAAAUCGGAUAAUAACCACGCCCACCUCCCAUACAAAGAUUAGGUUGAAAAUUACUAAAAGUGGGUUAACUAACUAACGAAAAACGUCAGAAACACUAAAUUUUGCAGAAGAAAUAGCAGAAGGGAGCUGCACUCAUAUUUUUUUACAAAAUGGAAAAUGGGCGUGGCAUCGCCCACUUAUGGGUCAAAAACCAUAUCUCAGGAACUACUCGACCGAUUCGAAUGAAAUUCGGUAUAUAAUAUUUUCUUGACACCCUGAUAACACGGACAAAAAUGGGCGAAAUCGGUUCACAACCACUACUACUUUCCUUAUAACUCAAUUUUGAAAUCCAUCUUAUUCCCUCACUUUAUAAUGCAAACAUAAGGAACCAAUGAAGAUAACGGAACAAAACUUUACACAAUUAUUGCAUAUCAUCUCUGGCUUCACUUGUGAAAAAAUUGUCGAAAACGGACCAUAACUUUUCAAGGCCCCAGAUAUCGAACAUGUUGAACUCAGCGCCUAAGGAUAAAUUUUAACCGAAAAUAUGGGUAAAUCUCUCAAAUAUCUCAAUUUAAUUCAGAGGAAAUUGUUUUCUUCUAAUAGUGUGUCUCUGUUCCAAAAAUUAUUAAAAUCGGGUCAUAACAUUUCCAUAUAUAUGUAUUGGUUAAAUUUCUUCAAUAAAUUGCGAGAGUAUAAAAUGUUCGGUUGCACCCGAACUUAGCCUUUCCUUACUUGUUUUUAAUACAAAAACACUAGAACACCAAAUAGGAUAUGUAUAGAGACACUUUAAAUAAUUUUUUUGUAUCUUUUUUUUUUUUGUUUGCCCGUUUUAUGUUUGAACUUGUACGUUUUUCGAAAUUGCCGACACCAAAAGCUGAUAAUUUGUUUUAAUUAACAUUUUAUUUACAUACUUUAUCAGGCAAGCGAACACCUGUGAAGCUUCCGGUACAUAACUGAAUGCUUUAUUGUUGUUGUAUGUAAUAUAAAAUUAUUAUAGUA